AUACCCUGGUAGUCCACGCCCUAAACGAUGUCAACUAGCUGUUGGGGGUUUGAAUCCUUGGUAGCGUAGCUAACGCGUGAAGUCGACCGCCUGGGGAGUACGGCCGCAAGGUUAAAACUCAAAGGAAUUGACGGGGACCCGCACAAGCGGUGGAUGAUGUGGAUUAAUUCGAUGCAACGCGAAAAACCUUACCUGCUCUUGACAUGUACGGAACUUGGUAGAGAUAUCUUGGUGCCCGAAAGGGAGCCGUAACACAGGUGCUGCAUGGCUGUCGUCAGCUCGUGUCGUG
RNAcentral lists this ribosomal RNA (289 nucleotides) under Bacillus sp. AFS015802. RNAcentral's name for it is "partial 16S ribosomal RNA". It matches the Rfam family "Bacterial small subunit ribosomal RNA", at positions 782 to 1069 of the family's 1533-position model. The record is from RNAcentral. Lineage: Bacteria; Bacillati; Bacillota; Bacilli; Caryophanales; Bacillaceae.